GAUGAACGCUGACAGAAUGCUUAACACAUGCAGGUCUUUGGCGAAGCUGUGCUUGCACAGCCUAGCCAAGGCGGACGGGUGAGUAACGCGUAAGGAACUUGCCCUGCAGUCAGGGAUAACAGACGGAAACGACUGAUAAGACCUGGUAAAGUCAGGCGGACUCAUGUCCAGCCUGAUGAAAAGAGAUGCUGCAGGAGAGCCUUGCGUCCUAUUAGCUUGUUGGUGGGGUAACGGCCCACCAAGGCGAUGAUAGGUAGCCGGCCUGAGAGGGUGGACGGCCACAAGGGGACUGAGAUACGGCCCUUACUCCUACGGGAGGCAGCAGUGGGGAAUAUUGGACAAUGGGGGCAACCCUGAUCCAGCAAUUCUGUGUGCACGAUGAAGGUUUUCGGAUUGUAAAGUGCUUUCAGCAGGGAAGAAAAAAAUGACGGUACCUGCAGAAGAAGCGACGGCUAAAUACGUG
RNAcentral lists this ribosomal RNA (463 nucleotides) under uncultured bacterium. RNAcentral's name for it is "partial 16S ribosomal RNA". It matches the Rfam family "Bacterial small subunit ribosomal RNA", at positions 28 to 507 of the family's 1533-position model. The record is from RNAcentral.